RNAcentral lists this ribosomal RNA (422 nucleotides) under uncultured microorganism. Its description in RNAcentral is "bacterial SSU rRNA". It matches the Rfam family "Bacterial small subunit ribosomal RNA", at positions 9 to 430 of the family's 1533-position model. The record is from RNAcentral.
GAGUUUGAUCUUGGCUCAGAGUGAACGCUGGCGGUAGGCCUAACACAUGCAAGUCGAACGGCAGCACAGAGGAGCUUGCUCCUUGGGUGGCGAGUGGCGGACGGGUGAGGAAUACAUCGGAAUCUACUCUGUCGUGGGGGAUAACGUAGGGAAACUUACGCUAAUACCGCAUACGACCUACGGGUGAAGCAGGGGAUCUUCGGACCUUGCGCGAUUGAAUGAGCCGAUGUCGGAUUAGCUAGUUGGCGGGGUAAAGGCCCACCAAGGCGACGAUCCGUAGCUGGUCUGAGAGGAUGAUCAGCCACACUGGAACUGAGACACGGUCCAGACUCCUACGGGAGGCAGCAGUGGGGAAUAUUGGACAAUGGGCGCAAGCCUGAUCCAGCCACACCGCGUGGGUGAAGAAGGCCUCGGUUGUAAGU